This 172-nucleotide small RNA is filed under the name Fukomys damarensis (Damara mole-rat). Its description in RNAcentral is "Pvt1 onco conserved region 1 (ENSFDAG00000019908.1)". Lineage: Eukaryota; Metazoa; Chordata; Mammalia; Rodentia; Bathyergidae. The record is from RNAcentral.
UGUGCGCUAAGUGGGUUCAGGUGCAGUGUGACCAGGAUGAAAAGGAAGGGCAAAGGAGACCAGUACAGGGAUGGGCCCCAGAACACUUAGCACCUAACAAGUGGAUUUCCAUGCGCAAUGGAUUGCUGGUGAUCCUGGUGACAGGUAUAAAUGGAAUUAGAUCCAUACUCCA